RNAcentral lists this long non-coding RNA (725 nucleotides) under Lupinus mutabilis. RNAcentral describes it as "partial ncRNA". The record is from RNAcentral. Lineage: Eukaryota; Viridiplantae; Streptophyta; Magnoliopsida; Fabales; Fabaceae.
GAUCCCGUUUCCUUCAAACACUUUCUUUCUUUUCCAUUUUCAGAUCCAAGAAAAUGGAUAACGUAACAUUUUCCAUUUUUCUUCUUCUCUUGUUUCUCUUUGUUUCACCUCACCACGUAACCGUCUCCGCCGAUUCACCACCGUCUCCAUCUCCAACUCCGUCACCAUCACCCUCCGAAUCUCCUUCUCCGGAUUCUGCUCCGAGUUUACCUCCAUCGCCGCCUGCUCCUUCUCCGCAGAGUCCUUCUCCAUCUCCCGCUCAAUCUCCAGUAGAUUCUCCAUCUCCCGCUCUUUCACCGGAGGAUUCUGAUUCUCCGUCUCCGGCACCGACGGCGGCGGAUAGAGGUUCAAUUAACCACACGGAAGCUGCGGAUGAGAAUGCGGCGGAGAAAUCGUCGGGAGGAGGAAACAGCAGCGGAAAGAAAGCUGGAAUAGCAAUCGGAGUGGUACUAGCAGCGGGAGUGAUCGUAAUAGGAGGAGUAGUAUACAAGAAGAGACAACGGAAUAUACGGCGCUCUCAGUUUGGAUACGCCGCAAGGACUGAGAUUCUGUAAAAGCCUCAUUUAUACGUAGUUCAUGCUUGUUGUGAUUCAAUUUCACUCUAGAUUCUUUUCGUUAUGAUUCAAAUACAUUACUGCUUCGGUUUAUAAGGUAUAUCAAUUGUCAUUUUAUCAGAUCUCAUUUUGUUGCUACUUGUAAUAUUCAAAUUUUCAAACCAAUUCGUG